RNAcentral lists this long non-coding RNA (1124 nucleotides) under Heterocephalus glaber (naked mole-rat). RNAcentral describes it as "lncRNA (ENSHGLG00100042253.1)". The record is from RNAcentral. Lineage: Eukaryota; Metazoa; Chordata; Mammalia; Rodentia; Bathyergidae.
CUCGGGACUUGUGCACCUAGGGGAGUGGCCGCGCCUAUGGGUGGGGCUGCUGAGAAGGGAUGGGGGUUUGAGGAAAUCCUAAGGGGCAGGAGGAUGAAGAGGAAGCAGUAAAACAACCCACAAAGGAACCAGAAGGAAAGCAGAGUAGUCCACGUGAUAGGAUGCCAAAGGAAGAGUUUAAAGAAGGAAGUUAUGUAGAAUGGCUCUUGACAUCGCUCUGCUUCCUGUCUGCCAUGCCCUGAGCAGCUUUCCUCUGCCAUGCGGUUCUACCCUGGAGCCAGAUGACUGUGGACUGAAACCUCUACAAACCGACCUGGCCAAGCUCCUUGCCCAGCGCAGACCGGCUGCCCUUGUCUAUUGGCCUUUGAGUGGACAAGGAAGGAGGAAGUGAGAGGCACUCCGACAGAGAAGAGUCCCUUUCCCUGCAACUCCAGGAAAACCUGCAGGCUCCCCACACCUGGCGGAAGCAGGAGGCAGCCAUGCCCGCAAGGCUAAAGUCCUGGCCUACAGCCCCAGCAGCCUUCCUCCAGAGUUUACCCAGUGCACACACCUGAGAACUGGCCCAGGAGGGCCAGGUAGCUGGCAUGUCCCUGCGAGAACAGCCAGCAGGUACAGAGUGCCCUGGAGGCUGGUCCUCUGGGAGGGAGGGUGACAUCCAGAAACUGGCCUGGCUGAUUUUUAUCAAGCCACCUUUCAGUGAAGUUGUAUGGUGUGAAAUGGAACAAUGCAAUUGCUUAACCAUCACCGCCUGCCGCACCAUCUAGUCAGAGGUGAUUUUUGCUCAACCGGAUGGGGGGAAGUCGUUAUGAAGCCUUAAUAAAAAUUUUUUUUUCUGGAUGUAGGCAGCAGACUUUAACAAUUAAUAUUGCUGCAAUCUAGCUUUCUACACUGUUUAUUGAGCUUUAAAAAGAAGUGCCACCCUUAAGCCUGAACCCCUUAAGUAUUUUUUUAUAACCGAGGCUAAGAUGGAGGUGGUGUAGCUAAUUAAAUAACAUAGGUCAGAGGCUUUGUUGUUGUUUCCAUACUGGGGAUUGAACCCAGGGACUUCACACAGAGCUACAGCCCCGUCCCACUCUUAACUUUUUAUUUUGAGAGGGGUCUUGAUAAGCCACUGAGUCGCCCAG